GAAUGACUCGGUGAAGAAUUGGGACUGGGAAUCUGUUUGCUUCAUUGCGAAUGGAUUUGUGGGAACUUUUUUUAACCUCGCCAUUUAGAGGAAGGUGAAGUCGUAACAAGGUUUCCGUAGGUGAACCUGCGGAAGGAUCAUUA
This 143-nucleotide ribosomal RNA is filed under the name Albugo candida. Its description in RNAcentral is "partial 18S ribosomal RNA". It matches the Rfam family "Eukaryotic small subunit ribosomal RNA", at positions 1691 to 1831 of the family's 1831-position model. The record is from RNAcentral. Lineage: Eukaryota; Oomycota; Peronosporomycetes; Albuginales; Albuginaceae.